UACGGAGGAUGCAAGCGUUAUCCGGAAUGAUUGGGCGUAAAGCGUCCGCAGGUGGCUGUGUAAGUCUGCUGUUAAAGAGUGAGGCUCAACCUCAUAAGAGCAGUGGAAACUACACGGCUAGAGUGCGUUCGGGGCAGAGGGAAUUCCUGGUGUAGCGGUGAAAUGCGUAGAGAUCAGGAAGAACACCGGUGGCGAAAGCGCUCUGCUAGGCCGCAACUGACACUGAGGGACGAAAGCUAGGGGAGCGAAUGGGAUUAGAUACCCCAGUAGUCCUAGCCGUAAACGAUGGAUACUAGGCGUGGCUUGUAUCGACCCGAGCCGUGCCGUAGCUAACGCGUUAAGUAUCCCGCCUGGGGAGU
This 359-nucleotide ribosomal RNA is filed under the name uncultured Komarekiella sp. RNAcentral describes it as "bacterial SSU rRNA". It matches the Rfam family "Bacterial small subunit ribosomal RNA", at positions 524 to 881 of the family's 1533-position model. The record is from RNAcentral. Lineage: Bacteria; Bacillati; Cyanobacteriota; Cyanophyceae; Nostocales; Nostocaceae.